UCCCAGACUCCUACGGGAGGCAGCAGUGAGGAAUAUUGGUCAAUGGUCGGGAGACUGAACCAGCCAAGCCGCGUGAGGGAUGAAGGUACAGAGUAUCGUAAACCUCUUUUGUCAGGGAACAAAGGCGGGGACGCGUCCCCGGAUGAGUGUACCUGAAGAAAAAGCAUCGGCUAACUCCGUGCCAGCAGCCGCGGUAAUACGGAGGAUGCGAGCGUUAUCCGGAUUUAUUGGGUUUAAAGGGUGCGUAGGCGGAAUGCCAAGUCAGCGGUAAAAUCGCGGGGCUCAACCUCGCUCCGCCGUUGAAACUGGCGUUCUUGAGUGGGCGAGAAGUGCGCGGAAUGCGUGGUGUAGCGGUGAAAUGCAUAGAUAUCACGCAGAACUCCGAUUGCGAAGGCAGCGCACCGGCGCCCUACUGACGCUCAGGCACGAAAGCGUGGGUAUCGAACAGGAUUAGAUACCCUAGUAGA
Molecule: ribosomal RNA, 467 nt
Filed under: uncultured bacterium
Lineage: Bacteria
Description: bacterial SSU rRNA
Rfam family: Bacterial small subunit ribosomal RNA
Source: RNAcentral